GGCAGGUAUAGCUCAGUGGUAGAGUACAUGCUUGUAAUGCAUGAGGUCCUGGGUUUAAUCCCCAGUACCUCCU
Molecule: transfer RNA, 73 nt
Filed under: Vicugna pacos (alpaca)
Lineage: Eukaryota; Metazoa; Chordata; Mammalia; Artiodactyla; Camelidae
Description: tRNA-Tyr (GTA) (tRNA-Tyr-GTA-6-1)
Rfam family: tRNA
About the family: Transfer RNA (tRNA) molecules are approximately 80 nucleotides in length. Their secondary structure includes four short double-helical elements and three loops (D, anti-codon, and T loops). Further hydrogen bonds mediate the characteristic L-shaped molecular structure. tRNAs have two regions of fundamental functional importance: the anti-codon, which is responsible for specific mRNA codon recognition, and the 3' end, to which the tRNAs corresponding amino acid is attached (by aminoacyl-tRNA synthetases). tRNAs cope with the degeneracy of the genetic code in two manners: having more than one tRNA (with a specific anti-codon) for a particular amino acid; and 'wobble' base-pairing, i.e. permitting non-standard base-pairing at the 3rd anti-codon position.
Source: RNAcentral